Molecule: non-coding RNA, 73 nt
Organism: Dovyalis caffra
Lineage: Eukaryota; Viridiplantae; Streptophyta; Magnoliopsida; Malpighiales; Salicaceae
Source: the annotation of a GenBank genome assembly
GGAUCCAUUGCUUAGUGGUAGGGCAUUUGAGUAUAGGUCAAGAGGUCACCUGGUUUGAACUCGGUUGGGCCCU